AGAGUUUGAUCCUGGCUCAGAUUGAACGCUGGCGGCAUGCCUUACACAUGCAAGUCGAACGGUAGAGGGGCAACCCUUGAGAGUGGCGAACGGGUGAGUAAUAUAUCGGAACGUGCCCAGUCGUGGGGGAUAACGCAGCGAAAGCUGCGCUAAUACCGCAUACGAUCUAUGGAUGAAAGCGGGGGAUCGCAAGACCUCGCGCGAUUGGAGCGGCCGAUAUCAGAUUAGGUAGUUGGUGGGGUAAAAGCCCACCAAGCCGACGAUCUGUAGCUGGUCUGAGAGGACGACCAGCCACACUGGGACUGAGACACGGCCCAGACUCCUACGGGAGGCAGCAGUGGGGAAUUUUGGACAAUGGGCGCAAGCCUGAUCCAGCAAUGCCGCGUGCAGGACGAAGGCCUUCGGGUUGUAAACUGCUUUUGUACGGAGCGAAACGGUCUGGGUUAAUACCCUGGGCUAAUGACGGUACCGUAAGAAUAAGCACCGGCUAAGUACGUGCCAGCCGCCGCGGUAAUNC
RNAcentral lists this ribosomal RNA (517 nucleotides) under uncultured Comamonadaceae bacterium. Its description in RNAcentral is "bacterial SSU rRNA". It matches the Rfam family "Bacterial small subunit ribosomal RNA", at positions 8 to 526 of the family's 1533-position model. The record is from RNAcentral. Lineage: Bacteria; Pseudomonadati; Pseudomonadota; Betaproteobacteria; Burkholderiales; Comamonadaceae.